UUAAAAUCUCUGAUCUUAUACUUUCUUAUCUAUAAAAAAGAUGACUAUUGAGGUGCCUUAAAUCUAUGUUCCUAUACAUAACAUAUUUCAGGGUUAUGGAGAUAAUCAGGGGUUGAACCUUUACCUUCUGUACUGGAACCUGUGGAGGUCAGCACAUGGAGUACAAGUUGAGAUGGCACUGUGGAGACUAUUACCCAAUGGAGCAUGCAUGGAUAAGCUUGUAACCUGGGUCAUUUAGAUGGCUCAAGCCACUUUCAGAUAUGGAAUCUGAAGCAGAGAAAGCUUAAAUCACUUGUGCAGAGUUGCCCAUCCAGGAAGUGAGGUAAGAUUGGAAAUCUGGUCUUCUUGACUCCAAAUCUCAAGCACUUUCCACCAUACCAUCUUUACGUCCAAAACUAUCCUCGAAGAUACAAAGAAAGUUGACAAUGGCAAAGUUGGAAAUGCAGAAAUCAUUAUCUCAAUCCCGCUUUGAUCAUCACCUGAGCCUUGAUCUGAUUUGUCUCCCACUUUCAGGGGUUUUCCAUAUUAAUGUUGAACUUAAGGAAGACAAACAAUCAACUUCAUCUACUGUUUCUCAGAACUUCUGAGCUCAAAAGAGAUGCUAGCUUUAGCUUUCCUGAAUAUCAAUAAGUUCUUCUUCUUCUUUUUUAUCAUUGUUAUUUUAUAGUAGUUAUCAAAAAUAAUUAAAUAUAGUGAG
RNAcentral lists this long non-coding RNA (697 nucleotides) under Monodelphis domestica (gray short-tailed opossum). Its description in RNAcentral is "lncRNA (ENSMODG00000045538.1)". Lineage: Eukaryota; Metazoa; Chordata; Mammalia; Didelphimorphia; Didelphidae. The record is from RNAcentral.